CCUACGGGUGGCAGCAGUGGGGAAUAUUGCACAAUGGGCGCAAGCCUGAUGCAGCCAUGCCGCGUGUGUGAAGAAGGCCUUCGGGUUGUAAAGCACUUUCAGCGGGGAGGAAGGCGGUGAGGUUAAUAACCUCAUCGAUUGACGUUACCCGCAGAAGAAGCACCGGCUAACUCCGUGCCAGCAGCCGCGGUAAUACGGAGGGUGCAAGCGUUAAUCGGAAUUACUGGGCGUAAAGCGCACGCAGGCGGUCUGUCAAGUCGGAUGUGAAAGCCCCGGGCUCAACCUGGGAACUGCAUUCGAAACUGGCAGGCUAGAGUCGUGUAGAGGGGGGUAGAAUUCCAGGUGUAGCGGUGAAAUGCGUAGAGAUCUGGAGGAAUACCGGUGGCGAAGGCGGCCCCCUGGACAAAGACUGACGCUCAGGUGCGAAAGCGUGGGGAGCAAACAGGAUUAGAUACCCGUGUAGUC
This 465-nucleotide ribosomal RNA is filed under the name uncultured Klebsiella sp. Its description in RNAcentral is "bacterial SSU rRNA". It matches the Rfam family "Bacterial small subunit ribosomal RNA", at positions 338 to 795 of the family's 1533-position model. The record is from RNAcentral. Lineage: Bacteria; Pseudomonadati; Pseudomonadota; Gammaproteobacteria; Enterobacterales; Enterobacteriaceae.